Molecule: ribosomal RNA, 482 nt
Filed under: uncultured bacterium
Lineage: Bacteria
Description: partial 16S ribosomal RNA
Rfam family: Bacterial small subunit ribosomal RNA
Source: RNAcentral
AUUGAACGCUGGCGGCAUGCUUUACACAUGCAAGUCGAACGGUAACAGGCCGCAAGGUGCUGACGAGUGGCGAACGGGUGAGUAAUGCAUCGGAACGUGCCCAGUCGUGGGGGAUAACUACUCGAAAGAGUAGCUAAUACCGCAUACGAUCUAUGGAUGAAAGCGGGGGACCGUAAGGCCUCGCGCGAUUGGAGCGGCCGAUGUCAGAUUAGGUAGUUGGUGGGGUAAAGGCUCACCAAGCCAACGAUCUGUAGCUGGUCUGAGAGGACGACCAGCCACACUGGGACUGAGACACGGCCCAGACUCCUACGGGAGGCAGCAGGGGGGAAUUUUGGACAAUGGGCGCAAGCCUGAUCCAGCAAUGCCGCGUGCAGGAAGAAGGCCUUCGGGUUGUAAACUGCUUUUGUACGGAACGAAACGGCUCUGGUUAAUACCCGGGGCUAAUGACGGUACCGGAAGAAUAAGCACCGGCUAACUACGUG